UUCGAGGGUUCCAAAGAAAUAUUAUCGAUGCAGAAAUUAUGGUUGGAGACCAUGCCGGAAAGCGAAUCUUCCUACCACGGAUUCCAUUAUGUCCCUCAGAUGAUGAGAUGUUCCCGUUUCAGUUUAAGAGGAAGCAGUUUCCUAUUAGACUCAGUUUUGCCAUGACGAUUAACAAAGCAGAGGGGCAGACUCUCCCCAAUGUUGGUGUGUAUUUGCCUGAACCAGUGUUCUCUCAUGGUCAGCUGUAUGUUGCACUAUCUAGAGCCACUGCCAGAUCGAAUAUUAGGAUCCUUGUUGUCCCGCCCAGUGAUAGGAAUGAUAAGAAAAAGAAGACAAAAAUAAAUGGUAUAUACACGAAAAAUAUUGUCUACAAGGAGGUCCUCACUCUAUAAAAAGGUAGUAGAAGAAGUUUGUGAAUAAUAGGAGACAAGUAGUGUAUGAUGAUCUUUUGGACAUGUUACUGAUUAGAUGUACUCGUUAUAUUAUAAUAUGUUUUCAAUAACUAUAUGUGAAUUUAUGUUUA
This is a long non-coding RNA of Sorghum bicolor (sorghum), 523 nucleotides long. RefSeq lists it as uncharacterized. The record is from RefSeq and is a predicted model, not a curated record. NCBI's taxonomy places the organism in Eukaryota, Viridiplantae, Streptophyta, Magnoliopsida, Poales, Poaceae. The transcript has 2 exons.